Molecule: long non-coding RNA, 1116 nt
Organism: Gambusia affinis (western mosquitofish)
Lineage: Eukaryota; Metazoa; Chordata; Actinopteri; Cyprinodontiformes; Poeciliidae
Exons: 2
Source: RefSeq, a predicted model, not a curated record
CUAGAAAAUAAUAACGCUAAUAAUGCCUCGUUUCUAACGCGCGGUCCCAAAAGGUGCUUUAGGUCAUUUUCUUAUCGUUUACCCCGCGUCCUAGAUAGAAGUUAUGAACGCAAGGAGAUUUUCGGAAUAACAAAGGGAAACUGAAAGCUGCAUUUCCAUUUCCAUGGGAGAUAAAAGCGCUUCUAUAGGGGGCUUAAUCAUUAACCUACUUUUUCUUCUUCUCUUUUUUUUCUUCUUUCAGAAUUUGCUGUUUUGACACAAGGACGUCUAGUUCGUAUUCAUUUCAACGUGAACCCGCUAACUAUGAAGGAAAGCUGCAGGACAGUCAGUGCACGUUCUGAUCAAAGCUCCUAAAGAUUAUAGGAAAAAAAGAAGAAAAAAAACCCACAGCAGCUCGAGCACGGGGAUGAAAAAUGGGCAGAGGUUUCAACACCAAAAAGGCCAAAGCGGGAGGACACGCAGCGUGGAGCAGAGGAGAAGAAGAGAGCCGGGGAAUCCCUCUGCAUGACCCAGACUGAUGUAAAGGCUUGUGAAACUGAAUGACCGUGCCCUGCAGGAUAAUCCCACCCUACCUGUCGCCACCGCACCUGAACUUUCCCCUGACCCGUGCAGAGUUGAGUGGCAAGUCAGACAUCCAAGAAUCGACUUUGGUAGCAUUUAAAACUCAUCUUUAAUUUCUUAAUUCAACACGAUUCUAGCUCCUUGCCAUUUCCUAAAACUCUUUAAUCGAUCACGAUUUUUUUGUUUUUUAGCAAAAUAACACAAAUGUUUCCAGAUGGAUUUUCACAAAUCAAGCCUCCUUAUCUCUGUCAGCACGGAGAGGAGCUGCAGGCGCAGAGACCCCCUGGAUGUCGGCCAGACGACUGGCCGUAUCUUCCCACAAUGUUGACACUCGGAGCUCUUAACAGCCAGGCUUGGGUUACCGAGCCUCUCAGCCGAAGAUAACUGCUGCAGUGAGGUUUACAUCGGCCAACAUCAAGACUAAUGCGAAAUUCAACGCCUCGAGCUGAGUGGAGCCAUCUCUAAUUAACCCAAGACAAACACUGCAACCAACGAAGACAGAAGAAGUGUUUGCUUGGAUGUGGUUGUAAUAAAGCAAGUUGGAUUUUCUUGCAA